This 465-nucleotide ribosomal RNA is filed under the name Vreelandella stevensii. RNAcentral's name for it is "partial 16S ribosomal RNA". It matches the Rfam family "Bacterial small subunit ribosomal RNA", at positions 338 to 795 of the family's 1533-position model. Lineage: Bacteria; Pseudomonadati; Pseudomonadota; Gammaproteobacteria; Oceanospirillales; Halomonadaceae. The record is from RNAcentral.
CCUACGGGUGGCUGCAGUGGGGAAUAUUGGACAAUGGGGGCAACCCUGAUCCAGCCAUGCCGCGAGUGUGAAGAAGGCCCUCGGGUUGUAAAGCACUUUCAGUGAGGAAGAACGCCUGGUGGUUAAUACCCAUCAGGAAAGACAUCACUCACAGAAGAAGCACCGGCUAACUCCGUGCCAGCAGCCGCGGUAAUACGGAGGGUGCGAGCGUUAAUCGGAAUUACUGGGCGUAAAGCGCGCGUAGGUGGCUUGAUAAGCCGGUUGUGAAAGCCCCGGGCUCAACCUGGGAACGGCAUCCGGAACUGUCAAGCUAGAGUGCAGGAGAGGAAGGUAGAAUUCCCGGUGUAGCGGUGAAAUGCGUAGAGAUCGGGAGGAAUACCAGUGGCGAAGGCGGCCUUCUGGACUGACACUGACACUGAGGUGCGAAAGCGUGGGUAGCAAACAGGAUUAGAUACCCUAGUAGUC